Pelobates cultripes (western spadefoot toad) is the source of this 235-nucleotide non-coding RNA. The record is from the annotation of a GenBank genome assembly. Lineage: Eukaryota; Metazoa; Chordata; Amphibia; Anura; Pelobatidae.
CUUUGCAGGACGAACCAUGAAUUACUAAGUCUUGAUAAUAAGGGACAAUUGACCACUUCGGGGAGAAUGAAGUCCAAUGUGUUUAUUUUAAUUAGAAUAUAUUGCCAAAGUUCUGGAACCACUGGUCUUCUCCCUCCUACAUGGCUGUUUGAGAUGGAAUGCCACAGUGAAAAAUAAUUGGUCUUGAAUUUCCUGCUUAAACACUUAAUCUAAAAACUAUGAUCUCAGACAUUUG